RNAcentral lists this ribosomal RNA (498 nucleotides) under uncultured bacterium. Its description in RNAcentral is "partial 16S ribosomal RNA". It matches the Rfam family "Bacterial small subunit ribosomal RNA", at positions 30 to 523 of the family's 1533-position model. The record is from RNAcentral.
AUUGAACGCUGGCGGCAUGCCUUACACAUGCAAGUCGAACGGUAACAGGUCUUCGGAUGCUGACGAGUGGCGAACGGGAGAGUAAUACAUCGGAACGUGCCUAGUAGUGGGGGAUAACUACUCGAAAGAGUGGCUAAUACCGCAUGAGAUCUACGGAUGAAAGCAGGGGAUCGCAAGACCUUGUGCUACUAGAGCGGCCGAUGGCAGAUUAGGUAGUUGGUGGGAUAAAAGCUUACCAAGCCGACGAUCUGUAGCUGGUCUGAGAGGACGAUCAGCCACACUGGGACUGAGACACGGCCCAGACUCCUACGGGAGGCAGCAGUGGGGAAUUUUGGACAAUGGGCGCAAGCCUGAUCCAGCAAUGCCGCGUGCAGGAUGAAGGCCUUCGGGUUGUAAACUGCUUUUGUACGGAACGAAAAGCCCCGGGUUAAUACCCUGGGGUCAUGACGGUACUGUAAGAAUAAGCACCGGCUAACUACGUGCCAGCCGCCGCCGUAA